Molecule: transfer RNA, 81 nt
Filed under: Candidatus Sericytochromatia bacterium
Lineage: Bacteria; Bacillati; Candidatus Sericytochromatia
Description: tRNA-Leu
Rfam family: tRNA
About the family: Transfer RNA (tRNA) molecules are approximately 80 nucleotides in length. Their secondary structure includes four short double-helical elements and three loops (D, anti-codon, and T loops).
Source: RNAcentral
GCCGGCGUGGCGAAAUGGCAGACGCAGUUGACUCAAAAUCAACCGGGGAGACUCAUGUCGGUUCGACUCCGACCGCCGGCA